CAGCCGCCGCGGUAAUACGGAGGGUGCAAGCGUUACUCGGAAUCACUGGGCGUAAAGGACGCGUAGGCGGAUUAUCAAGUCUCUUGUGAAAUCUAACGGCUUAACCGUUAAACUGCUUGGGAAACUGAUAAUCUAGAGUAAGGGAGAGGCAGAUGGAGUUCUUGGUGUAGGGGUAAAAUCCGUAGAGAUCAAGAAGAAUACCCAUUGCGAAAGCGAUCUGCUGGAACUUAACUGACGCUAAUGCGUGAAAGCGUGGGGGGCAAACAGGAUUAGAUACCCCCGUAGUCCCUGUCUCUUAUAC
This 301-nucleotide ribosomal RNA is filed under the name uncultured bacterium. Its description in RNAcentral is "partial 16S ribosomal RNA". It matches the Rfam family "Bacterial small subunit ribosomal RNA", at positions 509 to 807 of the family's 1533-position model. The record is from RNAcentral.